RNAcentral lists this transfer-messenger RNA (358 nucleotides) under Chloroflexota bacterium. RNAcentral's name for it is "Chloroflexi bacterium (anaerobic digester metagenome) partial transfer-messenger RNA". It matches the Rfam family "transfer-messenger RNA", at positions 43 to 374 of the family's 374-position model. From Rfam's summary of the family: Bacterial tmRNA, also known as 10Sa RNA or SsrA, is named for its dual tRNA and mRNA-like properties. Its role is to liberate the mRNA from a stalled ribosome. The record is from RNAcentral. Lineage: Bacteria; Bacillati; Chloroflexota.
UUGCAGGCCGAGGUGCCUCACCCUCGUUAAUAAGGGGCAACUUUUACAAGUGCCAAAAACACUUACACACCGGCCUACGCCCUGGCCGCGUAAUCGCGGUACCAAGGCUUAAAGCCAACUGAUCGAUUUAAUCGAUCACGUCUGUCCCUCACUUUUCCCGAGAGGGAGGAGCCAGGCGUCGACAAAGUCGGGAUGCGGCCGGCCAAUGCCGAUACAACCGGUCAAAGAUGAAUCGGCUGGCGAGUUCCAGAGUCUGUCGCUCGAUAAUGGGCUCGCGAGAUAAUUAGGGGCGACUAUGCUUGUAGACGCUUCUGGUCGAACUUUUUGGACGCGGGUUCGAUUCCCGCCAUCUCCACCA